RNAcentral lists this ribosomal RNA (408 nucleotides) under Fusobacteriota bacterium. RNAcentral's name for it is "Fusobacteria bacterium partial 16S ribosomal RNA". It matches the Rfam family "Bacterial small subunit ribosomal RNA", at positions 355 to 776 of the family's 1533-position model. Lineage: Bacteria; Fusobacteriati; Fusobacteriota. The record is from RNAcentral.
UGGGGAAUAUUGCACAAUGGACGGAAGUCUGAUGCAGCAACGCCGCGUGCGGGAUGACGGCCUUCGGGUUGUAAACCGCUUUUUCUCAUGACGAAGUUUUUUGACGGUAGUGGGGGAAGAAGCACCGGCUAACUACGUGCCAGCAGCCGCGGUGAUACGUAGGGUGCGAGCGUUGUCCGGAAUUAUUGGGCGUAAAGAGCUUGUAGGCGGUUUGUCGCGUCGAUAGUGCAAACUCAGUGCUUAACGCUGAGCCUGCUGUUGAUACGGGCAGACUAGAGGAAGGUAGGGGAGAAUGGAAUUCCCGGUGGAGCGGUGGAAUGCGCAGAUAUCGGGAGGAACACCGGUGGCGAAGGCGGUUCUCUGGGCCUUUCCUGACGCUGAGAAGCGAAAGCGUGGUGAGCGAACAGG